This is a long non-coding RNA of Lycium barbarum (goji berry), 992 nucleotides long. RefSeq lists it as uncharacterized. The transcript is spliced from 3 exons. NCBI's taxonomy places the organism in Eukaryota, Viridiplantae, Streptophyta, Magnoliopsida, Solanales, Solanaceae. The record is from RefSeq and is a predicted model, not a curated record.
UACACCCUAAAAUGGAAAGGCACCUUUUAACUUCUCAUAAUUUCUCUCCGUUUAUUCCUCUUCUUUUUCCCAGCGUUACCUUUUGCUCUUGCUUUUCCCACAAUCUAUACUCAUGGCUACCAUUGCCAAAGUGAAGAACAGCAAGAUGUACUUAACUGAUUUUAUAGGAUUUCUAAUUCGGGGCAAUACUGCCCGCCUAAAGGGGUAUUGCGAAUCUUAACCAUGAAAUACUUGAACCAAGAAAUUCCCAUGAUUGUGAUGUGUUGUUCAGAAAUUGAAGAAUUGAGGCUAUUUCCCUUUUGACACGAGGAUUUGAGUAAAGAAAUUAAGAAUGGAAUAAGGAAACAAUUGGUUAUCAUCAUUUUUCUGAAUUCCGAAGUAGAGUUGCAAAGAAAUUAAGGAAAACUCCUACUAUUUAAAUUCACGACUUUAUUAAAAUUGAAUCCACCAGCUACAUCAAAUUCAAAUAACGUGUGCUUACUGGAUUUACACCGACGAUCGGAUACAAUUGCCGUCUCUGCCUCUGCUCGCCACAACAGGCCCUCGAAACGAAUACGGUGAUUGGAAAAGCUGUGAAGAUUGCUGAGGCUAUUAACUAUGUGCAACCUUCCACCGCCGAGUUGAGUUUAUCUCAAAGAAGUUAUCUGAAUUCGGGAAUGGACUUCAACGUGAAAUGUCUUCUCUCCAGGCAUGCAAAUCACUCAAAGAAUAUGUUGUUAUGAGUUUUUGACUUCUUGAAUAUAAUUUUUAAUGGAUUUUGUGACAAUUUCAGAUGAUUCAAUCCAUUGGAUUGUUUCAUCAUACUAACAGAAGAAAGUUGCAGAGUUCGGAUUUUGGAGUGAUGAGGCUGGUUUAGAAGAAAAUUUAGUUCCUCCAGAUCUGUUGAAAAUAACAAAAGCCAGGAUGUACAAAAGAGCUCUUUAGUACAAACGUUAUUAUGUAAUCGGUAAUUUAUACUUUCCUCCUCCCUCUCUCUUAGAUUUAGAAAUUCC